RNAcentral lists this ribosomal RNA (600 nucleotides) under uncultured bacterium. Its description in RNAcentral is "bacterial SSU rRNA". It matches the Rfam family "Bacterial small subunit ribosomal RNA", at positions 771 to 1371 of the family's 1533-position model. The record is from RNAcentral.
AACCGGAUUAGAUACCCUGGUAGUCCUCGCUGUAAGCGAUGUCGAUUUGGAGGUUGCGCCCUUGAGGGGUGGCUUCCGUAGCUAACGCGUUAAAUCGACCGCCUGGGGAGUACGGCCGCAAGGUUAAAACUCAAAUGAAUUGACGGGGGCCCGCACAAGCGGUGGAGCAUGUGGUUUAAUUCGAUGCAACGCGAAGAACCUUACCUACUCUUGACAUCCAGAGAACUUUCCAGAGAUGGAGGGGUGCCUUCGGGAGCUCUGAGACAGGUGCUGCAUGGCUGUCGUCAGCUCGUGUUGUGAAAUGUUGGAUUAAGUCCCGCAACGAGCGCAACCCUUAUCCUUUGUUGCCAGCGAUAAAGUCGGGAACUCAAAGGAGACUGCCGGUGAUAAACCGGAGGAAGGUGGGGAUGACGUCAAGUCAUCAUGGCCCUUACGAGUAGGGCUACACACGUGCUACAAUGGCGUAUACAAAGAGAAGCGACCUCGCGAGAGCAAGCGGACCUCACAAAGUACGUCGUAGUCCGGAUUGGAGUCUGCAACUCGACUCCAUGAAGUCGGAAUCGCUAGUAAUCGUAGAUCAGAAUGCUGCGGUGAAUACGU